GGCGGAAUAUGUAGUGUAGCGGUGAAAUGCUUAGAUAUUACAUAGAACGCCAAUUGCGAAGGCAGCUCACUAAGCUAUAAUUGACGCUGAUGCACGAAAGCGUGGGGAUCAAACAGGAUUAGAUACCCUGGUAGUCCACGCCGUAAACGAUGAUAACUCGCUAUUGGCGAUACACAGUCAGUGGCUUAGCGAAAGCGUUAAGUUAUCCACCUGGGGAGUACGACCGCAAGGUUGAAACUCAAAGGAAUUGACGGGGGCCCGCACAAGCGGAGGAACAUGUGGUUUAAUUCGAUGAUACGCGAGGAACCUUACCUAGACUUGAACGUAUUUGGACAGAUUCAGAGAUGGAUUCUUCUUUCGGGACCAUUUACGAGGUGCUGCAUGGUUGUCGUCAGCUCGUGCCGUGAGGUGUCGGGUUAAGUCCCAUAACGAGCGCAACCCUUGCCAAUAGUUGCCAGCGAGUAAUGUCGGGGACUCUAUUGGGACUGCCGGUGUAAACCGUGAGGAAGGUGGGGAUGACGUCAAAUCAGCACGGCCCUUACGUCUAGGGCGACACACGUGUUACAACGGCCAGUACAGAGGGUCGCUAUUAAGUGAUUAGAUGCUA
Molecule: ribosomal RNA, 607 nt
Filed under: uncultured Rikenella sp.
Lineage: Bacteria; Pseudomonadati; Bacteroidota; Bacteroidia; Bacteroidales; Rikenellaceae
Description: bacterial SSU rRNA
Rfam family: Bacterial small subunit ribosomal RNA
Source: RNAcentral